Long non-coding RNA from Phalaenopsis equestris, 1022 nucleotides. RefSeq lists it as uncharacterized. The transcript is spliced from 2 exons. The record is from RefSeq and is a predicted model, not a curated record. NCBI's taxonomy places the organism in Eukaryota, Viridiplantae, Streptophyta, Magnoliopsida, Asparagales, Orchidaceae.
UAAUUAUCUCUCCUGUCUGGACAUCGACGAGGGGUACCAAGCUGAACUGAAAAUAUCCUCCGAAUAACUCCACGUGAUAUUCUCAGCAUGACACAAAAUGACCCCACUUAUGACAUGUUAGACCUCCCUUCAUCGGGGUAAUUUAGGAAGGGGUUUAUACAUAUGAAAAAAUCACAUUUCUCUUAUCUUGGGUGGCCCUGUAUUUGAUGUUGGUUCUUCCAACUCAUGACCCUUUGGAACAUUCAAGGUCAUUCCUACUGAUGUUCCUCUCAACGCCCGUGAAAUGGUAGCUUGAGAUACCAAAUUCUUUGCAACUGUAACACUCUUUUGUUUCCUUCCCUAGGGUCUGAGCAACAUUAACUAUUUCUGAUGAUCCACCAACUGCACCGAUAGCGGCUUGUGUCGUCAAACUUUGUUCUUCACUCAAUAAUUCACCAAAGCAUACAUCCAAACAAGAAACCAUAUCUCUAUUCAUUAACCCAACCCAAACAAUUUCAAAUUCAGGUCAGAGCUUCAUUAAAAAUUGAUCGCGACACUCACUUCAUAAAUAGCCCGAAAACUAGCUAAGUUCUCUUUUGACACUUUAGCAUAGAUAAUGCCAGAAUAUUUGCUCUAUAAAUUUAGGAAGUCAGAAUAAUAUUGUUCAAUUGAGAGAUUACCUUAACUAUAAUUACUUAUUUCAACUUUCAAUUGAAUGCAUCUUACAGUAUUAUCUUGAUUGUAGACGCACUUCAAGUAUUUUCAUAUUUCUUUAACCGUGCAAAAUGAUCGAUAAAUCCCAAAAUCCAAGAAAUAAUCCGAGCAUCCUUUGCCUCCCAUUAACCAAGAUUUUUCGGCUCUGUAGGUGUUGGAGAUGACCCAUCAAUGUGACCCCAAAGCUCAUUCAUUUUUAAAAACAUCUUGAAUUGAAAUUCCCAUGCUGCAUAAUUUUUUCGCUUAAAUCUAAUAUCUAAGAUUUCAGAAGACAUUCUAAACAGAAUUGUCAAUCACAAUUUGAUUAUCAAGAAAGUUGUUGAUCGAAA